Molecule: long non-coding RNA, 20159 nt
Filed under: Selaginella moellendorffii
Lineage: Eukaryota; Viridiplantae; Streptophyta; Lycopodiopsida; Selaginellales; Selaginellaceae
Description: long non-coding RNA (SMOE_LNC001284)
Source: RNAcentral
UAGUUGGAGGUUAAAGAUGUGUAUGCCACAUUGGUUUUCCAAGACAAGGGCCGGCAAGCAUUUUCUCUAGGCUCUUGUGUUCAUUUGCCCUUUUCAUGCUGUACAAGGCAGAGUGUAAGCACGAUGAGCAAGAACCAGAGUGGCGGCAGUUCCAGUUAGAAAUGGGCUUAGAGUUGGAGGAGGAUGAGGAGGCACAGGAUGAGGAGGCCGUUUUUCUGGACCUGGAGUUUCCACAUGAUGGCAUUGAUCAACCUACUAACGAUGUCACCUCCUCUGAGGAGGGCUUGAUUGGCAUUCCGAUCCUGGAUGUGCGUACACUAAAAUUGGGAACUGAUGUGAAGCACCACGACCUGCUAUGUAAAGCUGGUCAGUAUCUGAAAUCUGCGUUAAGAUCUGGUACAGGUUUUCAUGUACGUGGAUCACUGCCAGCUUAGGGAAGCAAGCAAGACCUCCAACAUAUCUUCAUGUAUGUACCAGUUUCUAGUUUCGUGUUUUGAAAUCAAUUUCUGUUUGUUUUCUGUAUGCCAUGGACAUGAGGGAAUGGCGAUAUGCCAUUUCUGAGAUCGAUGGAUAUGUGCCGGUCAAGGGAAACCAGCUGGUUGAAGCUUCUCUGCAUUCGUUCCCUGACUCACCCAGAGAGCCGAUAUCGGAAGAGGCCUUCACCAAGCAGGAGGUUCGGGAUAAGUUUGCAGCCUGGAGAGCAUCCUUGUUAUCAAAGGACCUUACGAUUCCGGAUGGGUUGCACCCUGUUGGCCGGUUGUACUACUGCUCCAAGGUGAGUUUUUGUCGUGUGUUUAAAGUCUUUUGCCUUGAACGUGCCAAGGUGAGUUUUGUUCGUGUGUUUAGAGUCUGUUGCUUUGAACAGGCAUGGGGGAUGCCGAGCUUUGAAAGCGGCUUUGCAGCCAUCUCAGUGGGAGAGCUCAAGUUGUACUCGGGUAUCCUGAUUGGCCAGCGAGUGCGGCGCUGGACUCCAAGGAAAGUUUGGCAGUUCGCACCUGAUGGUGGGCAUGUGCCAUGCUGAGGCCCCAUGGAUUAACGUAGCUUUUGACCUUUGUUCCUUCCGCUUGACAAGCUUUUCCUUCUCUUAGGUGUGAAGUGAGUGUGUCAACUUAGACUUCUAACUACAACCUGUAAUAUCUUAGAAUCAUUGUCUUUAGCCAGAGCGUGUUUCUACAUUGUUUGGAUCCCAUAUUGUUCUGCAAAAAUUACAAAAAGAUUCACGUAAACUACGCAUUUUCAAAUGAUGCUUUGUUCUCCGAACGAAUGUCCUAUGCCCGUUCUAUUUCUAUGCGUGCAUUUGCCGGAAGGGGCAGCGCAAGCCUCCAUCGUAGUAUGGUCCAAGCUUGCCUGAUUUCAGCGCUCCCAGCUCCGCCAGCUUGUAUCCCUUCUCAAAUGCCGGUGGCCGAUACACAUUCACGUUGAGCUGCCGGUACUCUUCCGGAUUGGCAGCGGGAUUAGGACACCAGUCCACCUCAAUGCUGCCCUUUGCAUCCUCCACACGCCUGGGAGGCAAGAACGCGGACACGAAGCUCCCGGCCAGCAGCUUGAACGCACCCAAGAUGAUCCACUCCACAAUUGCUGGAGGCUUUUCCAAUCCAACAGCGCUCCUGAUUGUGGGAUCGAUGAGUGCACAGAUCCCAGUCUCGACCAGCGGCUGCACGGGGCGAGGAAAUGCAUCCAGCACCAGAUGCUUGAGAUCCUGGACGAUGCUCUUGUUCUUGUCCGUCAAGAUGGCGUUCUUGGCCUCGUAAUCGCGAAUGUACUCCCGCAUCUCUGGAAUGCUAUCUGGGAUGGUUGUGAUGCCCAUCCUCACGCCCACGUCGUGCCACACAACAUACGCGGCCUCCUUCUCGUUGUCGGUCCACUUGCGGAAUCCAAAUCUCUCGGAGAAAUCAAUGGGGCUGACCACGUUGAGGCAGAGGACGUAGGCGAAUUGGUCGUUUGGGAUCUUGAAUUUGUUGUGGAUUCCAUUCAAUCUCCUCACCGCGUAUGAGCCGCGAUCACUGUCGACGUGGUGGUGGAUCAUCUCGCUCACCAGAAUGUUGGUCUCGGCGGCGCGCUUCUGCGGAUCCUUGAGGCCGUACUUGGUCUUGAAGAGCAGAUUUGUGAUCCCCGGGAUGCCGAGCGUGCGGAUUGUGCCAAACUCGAGCGCCUUUUGCGAGAGGAAGGGGAAUUCCACCGAGUACAUGUACCACAAGAUCUUGUGUGCGUCUCUCACGGGGUGGAGCGACGCUAGAAAUCGUGCCCUCUCUUCUCUCUUGCGGAUACACACCAUCUUCCAUGCUGCAGCCAUCACGAGAAACGCAAUCAUCAACACGAUUGCAGCCAUUUCGAAAUGGUGAAAACUGUUUGAUCGAUCUGAUCAACUUGAUUGGAGAAUGUUUUCUACUCCUCUGUGGGUUGAGGAAACAGAGGCUGGAGAAGGGUCUUUUAUACUAUCAGAGCUAUUAGAGAUCACAUUUCACGUUUUUUAUUUCUGUGUGAUCCGUAUUCUGUACGUUACACACAUAGCCACAUACUUGGAGAGAAAUCUUGUUGUUUUAUACGCUGCACGUUUUCCACACAGUUAUCUGUCCAUGCAAUUUAUCGGUCCUACCAACUUGAACGUUUCACGUUUAGAACUGGAUUCUGUGUCCUUUAUUACAGAUUUCACAAAAGAUGCAGUAGAAACCAUAUUUAAAUUAGUAUAUUCGUAAUGUACCAAAGUUUUUUUGGUUGUUUCUCUUAAACUAGUAUACAGUUUAAUCUAGCAUAAUUUCAAGAAAUACCAUAUAAUACAAUAUGGUUUCUCGGUUUAUUCAUAUGUAUAAGAGAUUUAAAUAAAUAAUGUAUUUUUAUUGUAAUGAAUAAUGUAGAAUUUGGUCAACUUCAUUUUCUUUUAUAUUAUUUAUUUUUCACUUUAAAGUCAUGGUUAUUAUAGAUCAACUUCUAUGCAUUUGGUGUAAAGCUCUUGGAGCAGCCAUGCCGGAUGGAUGACAUCACUGGCAGCUAGAUCCAUGGAGUGGGCUGCUUGAGGGUGAAGCUCGAUUCAGGCCUGGCCGCCCAUCAAGAAGGCUGUUGACCUGGACAUUAGGUAACUGUGACUUGAUGUGACUUGGCAGCUUCUUACUACCACGAGGGUCUCUUGAAGCUUAACAGCACAAGCUUGGUUAAGAGUAAUUGCAACAGUAAUGUUGCCCCAAAACAUGGCAAGCGCAUGGUCAGGGGUAUACUAAGCUAGGAGCAAACGGUUCAUACUCUUUCUAAUAAAUUGGAAUUGCCAUAUCUUAUCAUAAAUCGGAAAGUCAUAAUAGAAAAAACCUUAUAGUUUGCUUCCUUGCUUUCCACGUUGACAGCUCUAACAUCUCUUUUUUAAUAUAUAUGCUUGGUGUAGCAAUUGCCUUUUGAUUCAACGGUAAGCAGCAGCUUGUUCAGCUUCUCCAAUUUGGUGAGAAUCUUGGUGAGUGCACUAAGGAGAUGCAUUAGGCUGCAAUAUUGUUGCUGCUACUCUUUGGAUUGUUCAGAUCAUUCUUCUACAACAGCAGUGGCUGCCUCCAUGCAAUGUGUCAAUAUUAGUACAUGCAUUGGGCCUAUUUACCAUAUGUUUAUUAGGCUUUCAACAUUCCAAAAGUUCUUCUUUGUUUCUGUCUGUUGUCUUCAAGUGAUGAUGCAGUUGACUACAUUUCUAGCACAUCACAGGUUUAGGAGGUUCACAAUAGCAAGUCUCAUUCAUUAGAUCAAACUCUUGACGAUGUAUGUAACAAGUUCUUGAACUUACUGUAGCGCACGUGGUUUUUACCCUUUAUCCUAUGGUGAUUUACCAAAGGAUAACACUACGAAGCGAAACCUAAACCCUCUUUGUGCCACGUGACAAGAUGCCAUGUGUCACAUGCCACGUGUCCAAAGGACAGUGGUGUGGAAUCCGAGUUUCAGGGCCUUAGGCCACUGAACAAAGGAACGGUGCCAAACCCCCAAGCAUGGAGCCAAGGAGUGAUGGAACUGGCCCACAGAGCAACUCUCUAGUAUAUAGCCUAAGGAGCGAAGGAACAGGAGCCCGGAGCGACUUGGAACAGUCCUAGAGCAACUAACAUCCCAAUGGCAGGACCAGCAUGCAAAAUGGAGCCAAACGGAGUCUGGCGCUAUUUCAACAUACCGGUGGCCUAACACAAGGACAUGGGUACUCCACCAGCUAGCAUGGAAUGGAACUUGGGCUUAGACACAAGUCGGACGCAGAACAAAGACAAGCACGCAAGCAGGAGCUAGACUAUGCCUCAGGUUUGUCAGCCAUGCCCGACCUACCCACUAUCCCUACUAUACAUUAUACAUUUGGAACCCCCCAUAGCCCCCCCCCCCCUCCCCCCUUGAGGAACACACGCUUUGGGCUUUCACCCCAAGCCUCCCUUAGUAUCAGGAGUUAGUCUCUAGGAGAAGCUCGAAACUUACUAAAUAUGGAAUGUCCCUAGAUUGCGAAUUUGGACACGGGACGAACACCAUUGUGUUCAGGAUGAUCUCUACAUUCCGUAGAUAUGCCAAAUGAGCAAAUGUCUAUAUUUCAUGAUGUUGAGGAAGAGGAAAAACUCCAUAUUUGAUAAUGCUGAGGAGGAGGAAGACCUAGAGAAAAUCACAAGAAAGAACCGCAAGGAGAAAAGAGAGAGUGAGCAGCCAAGAUCAGAUCCUCCAGCUACAAUUAACCAAGAUAAACCAGUCCUUGAUCCCAAAAUAACUACCCUAGCUAAGCUGUCAUGCAAAAAGUGGAAACACAGCCCUACAACAUUCUUGAAGACUUGGACAGUCAACGCCUGAAUAUCACAUUCGCUCAACUCUCACUCAUGUGUAUAAAAUUUAUUUUUAUAUUCAUCCAGCAUUUGCUGGGCAAGUACUAAUUCAAUUAUAUUUCAAGAUGUAUGUUUGAAAAUUUGUAUCUAUAAAGAUUAUUUUGCAAGUCACAGAUCUCAAACAAAGUCCCCUUUUAAAGCUAAGGUUACCAAGAAGAAAACUGUAGAAGUGUAUGUUUCCUUGUAACUCAUGCCAUUUUUGCCCAAGCAAGGAGGCUGCCACCAUUGCAAACUACUUAUGGUGUUUGAGGAUGAGGACAAGAUUGUUUCCUAAGAUCCCAGGAAUCUCAAAGUUAAAGAAUAAAAGUGGGAAGCAAUUCCACAUCAGCAUCUGCAGUGUGUUGUGAGGUUGAGUCAUGUGCAUGUGAUUGUUUUGCAUUGUGAGGUUGCCAUUAGCAAGCAAAGAGCAACCGGGCUGUGUUAGCAAGAGAUCAGGGAAGCAUUGCACAUGUUAGAUAUACUAAGUUUGUUCAUUACACCCUUCUAAGGUAGUACAAGCUUGCAUAAAGCAGUAACACAACUCCUGCAAUCUAGGAUGUCUGCCAUUUCCUAGGAAAGAUCUUGUUCCAAGACUGUUUAUUGUUUGGUAGUUGCUCUGGCUGAUGGGCUGGGUGACAAAUAUUUGACUUAUUCCACACUGUGAACUGCCCAGACAAACAUCUGGGCAGUCUCAAAGGAUUACAAGAUUGUGACAGUGAUCCAAGUUCUCACUAUCCUUCCUAGAACCUUUCAUGUCUAUGAGCUCAAUGGACUUUGUCUAAACUUCAAAAGCUUAAGAGUUUGCUAAAGCAUUGUUUCAAACUCCUUGAUUCCAUGUGGAUUGUGGCAAGCAAUGUCAGAUCAAAAUUCAGGUGGAAUCACCCAUCCUCGCGGCAAGUCCAUGACCACGAUCGUAUACAGCAGUGCCAUCAUCACCAAAAGAGAGUCACCAAAGUCAGAGAAGGUGGAGGGGGGCAGCUCAUAAGGUUUUGGUUCGUCUUUGGAACACAUUAGGGCUCUGCUCAUAGGAGUUGCUCCCACAGCACAACUCGCAGCGCUACAGCAACAAGCACCACUAUUCCAAGUGUCACCUAGCAAGAUUACUUAAGAGCAAUUUGCAGACAUCCCUAGAUUGCAGGAGUUGUGUUGCUGCUUUAUGCAAGCUUGUACUACCUUAGAAGGGUGUAAUGAACAAACUUAGUAUAUCUAACAUGUGCAAUGCUUCCCUGAUCUCUUGCUAACACAGCCCGGUUGCUCUUUGCUUGCUAAUGGCAACCUCACAAUGCAAAACAAUCACAUGCACAUGACUCAACCUCACAACACACUGCAGAUGCUGAUGUGGAAUUGCUUCCCACUUUUAUUCUUUAACUUUGAGAUUCCUGGGAUCUUAGGAAACGAUCUUGUCCUCAUCCUCAAACACCAUAAGUAGUUUGCAAUGGUGGCAGCCUCCUUGCUUGGGCAAAAAUGGCAUGAGUUACAAGGAAAUAUACACUUCUACAGUUUUCUUCUUGGUAACCUUAGCUUUAAAAGGGGACUCUGUUUGAGAUCUGUGACUUGCAAAAUAAUCUUUAUAGAUACAAAUUUUCAAACAUACAUCUUGAAAUAUAAUUGAAUUAGUACUUGCCCAGCAAAUGCUGGAUGAAUAUAAAAAUAAAUUUUAUACACAUGAGUGAGAGUUGAGCGAAUGUGAUAUUCAGGCGUUGACUGUCCAAGUCUUCAAGAAUGUUGUAGGGCUGUGUUUCCACUUUUUGCAUGACAGCUUAGCUAGGGUAGUUAUUUUGGGAUCAAGGACUAGUUUAUCUUGGUUAAUUGUAGCUGGAGGAUCUGAUCUUGGCUGCUCACUCUCUCUUUUCUCCUUGCGGUUCUUUCUUGUGAUUUUCUCUAGGUCUUCCUCCUCCUCAGCAUUAUCAAAUACGGAGUUUUUCCUCCUCCUCAACAUCAUGAAAUAUAGAGUUCUCCAUAUGCUAAUGCUGUUGUGCCCAUGUCAUAACUCUAGACUUUGGUGUAGCUUGUUGGAUGAAAAUUGCAUUGCUUUUUGCAUGGCUUAAGCUUGUGCAGGCAAUUAUCCUACUUAUGCAAGCCUUGUGUCUAACAAAUUCCACAUAUAGGCUGGUACCUAAUUUGUUUCCUCGGAUGCUGGCUUGUAGCUCAUUGUUUGAACUAGAGGAGAAAAUGGGUGUUGAAAGAAAAUUAGUGCUCAAGCCGAAGAUGGUAGUGAUGACAGCAAGGUCUUGAUAGGAGAUUUCCUGGCUUGUAAAAAUAAUAUUCCUAGUGAUUAUUAGUUUGCCAACAAUAUUGGCACUUGUCUCAAUUCAUCACUGGUUGUGGACACUCAUUUGGGUAGUGUCCGUAAUUGUUGCAUCACACACUAGAUGUCUUUUUGCUAUUGCACAAACUACUUUGUGCCCCUUGGACCCAAUUCAAUUGCAAGUCACUGUAGUUGUUGCUAGAUUUGGACCUACACUCAUUAAAGCUUGCCAUUGUUGUUGUUGCUAGCAGCUAUAGUCCAUCAUCCCAAGGCCUAUUCUAAAUAUUGUUCCAAAUACUAACAAUGAGAUAAGGAGAGAGAACAUAUAGAGAGAAAGGAAGGAGUUGUACUAGCUGGUCUUUGCUAAACAUUUGCUACCUUAUGGCUGGAAUAUCUCCAUGUGCCAUUGUUAGUUAUUCUUAACCAACUCCAAAGCUUUCUACUAGCUACACACACACAUUUUAUAUUAUAACACAAUACAAUUGCAUUUUCUUGUCUUUUUUAGUUUCCUUAAGCAAAUUUGUAGAGGAACUGAGAUGGUAGUGAAUAUACCUAGAAUAUACUUGGAUAUUCUAGGAUAGUCUACCAUCUAGCAGUUAUAAUUCAUUUAGAGUAAUUUUGUGUUUAUAAAUUAUAAACUUUUAUUUGAUCAAUUGAAUUAAUAAGUAGGAAUAACAGUACUAUUAAGAAAACCAAGCGUUGCUACAUGAAACACAUAGAAAGCUUUUCUCGAAUAACUGAUAUUGAUGUAUUUACCUCGGUUUGAAGGUCAUAACUUUAGAGAUCCCAUUUACAGUGGCUGACAAAAGAAAGCAGCCUUUUGGAUAAGGAUUGUCUUUACAGAGUUUGAUGGCCAUAGAUAAAUUAGUUGAAGUAAACAUUUGAAGAAAGGUGAUGGCCAUCAAGCCAUAUACACAGUCAAUGAGAGCAUCAUCCAUUGUUACGUGCUGUGUUGUUGCUAUAAGUGGAUAUCAACCGGCCAUGUACACAUAUAACCAUGAAAAAAAGAUGCUCAUUGUUGCACUCAAUGCAGUGUCCAAUCUGCAAGUUAAUCCUAGAUAGCCAAAAUUUGUGGCAAACACACCAGCCCAAGGACACAAAGAUGUCUUGAGAGGCAAAAGGAAUUAAGCAUUCCUUUAUCUUAAAUGAAUAAAUAUAAGCCAUUGAACAAAUAAAUAUGACAUACAUACCCCAUCAAAGUUUCUUCGAUACAUAGACGUUAUGGAUUUCAAGUGGUCAUGAAUGGCAUUCCAUGGCGCUAGUCCAGGCGCAUUGUAAACUAUAGUUGGAGGUCCAAUCUUGGAAGCAUUAUGAUCACUUGAUCCUUCAAUGUUGUGAAAUAUUUUGAGUGGCAUUUGAUAUCCAAACCAUUUUGAUUUGACUUUAUCAUACACAAAAGACAUACAUGUUGCAAAUUGAACCUAAGUAUGGUAGUUAUUAUUAACAGCUGUAUUGAAAGCUCAAACAUACCUUGUAAAUAUACUCAAAGUCUUAAGCAUGUUUGUGCUCUGCUCAUUUAGGUCAACUGAGGAAGUAUGCUGCAGCAGUGCAAAAUGCUAAUGAUGUGGUUUCUAGCGUGAGAUCAUGCAAAAGAACCAAGUUGGAUAUAGGAAUUAUAUCAAGCAUAGGUGGCCUCAAUGGUGGGAACUCACAAACUAGGGAGGAAGCAAUAAUAUCAAUAGAAAAUCUAAAGGAAUAGACCACCAAACAUAUCAGCAAUAUGUUGAGAAAGAGAAGCUGUAGCAAUAUGAACACCACUAAUAUCAAUGAAGUCAACAUUGGGGGAGGUGGUAGAGUUAGUUCUCCGCAAGCUGUUGCAGAAGCCAUCAUAAGUUCCAUAGCAAGAUAGGGUGUAUAGUAGCAAUGGUGAGCUCCAGAUAGCAGCUGCAAGUUAGUAAUUUGAUCCACUAAGGAGUGGCCACUGGCUUUGAAAAUGCUACUUGUAAUAGAACACCAUAGAUUAUCUUGUGAUAUGUCACUAAUGUGACGCUUUGCUGUGUCAAAAAAUAGUAAGAAAAUAUCACCCAAAAUUUCUUUUUUACUUAGUGGUAGCAUUGAAUCAAAAGUUGAAGUGAAGUAAUCCACAUAUAGUUUUGUAAGAAUGUUGUAAGAAACCAUGUUAAGAGAAAACCAUGUAUCUGUUGAAAUAAAUGCCAUCACAGUGGUAGGUGUUGCAUGGUUGGCAUGAAAUAAACAUACCACUAAUGUCAAGUAUGCUAUUAGAACUUUUGCCAACUAAAAUGCAAAUUAAAAUAUCAUUUGAAAGAAAAAGUGUAGCAUACCACUAUUGUUAGGAGUGCCACUUGACUUUACGUUAAAUUUGAUUAAUGAAAAAAGCAAAAAAUGUCAGUAAUACAUGCUAGAAAUGUUGUGGUGCUUGGUGACAUUAGGUUUUGUUGCAACAUAGUUCACAACUGCGUCAUUAUUAUUCCCAAGCUUAGUGGUUGCUAUAGCAUUCUUAGAAUGUUAAAAGAAAAUUUUGGUUAUAAUGGAAACUAUACUUGGGUGUAAGUUCAAGAACUUGCUACAUACGUCAUCAAGAGUUUGAUCUGAUGAAUGGGACUUGCUAUUGUGAACCUCCUGAACCUACAAUGUGCUAGAAAUGUAGUCAACUGCAUCAUCACUUGAAGACAACAGACACAAAACAAAGAAGAACUUUUGGAAUGUUGAAAGCCUAAUAAACAUAUGGUAAAUAGGCCCAAUGCAUGUACUAAUAUUGACAUGUUGCAUAGAGGCAGACACUGCUGUUGCAGAAGAAUGAUCCGAACAAUCCAAAGAGUAGCAGUAGCAACACUACAGCCUAAUGCAUCUCCUUAGUGCACUCACCGAGAUUCUCACCAAAUUGGAGAAGCUGAACAAGCUGCUGCUUACUGUUGAAUCAAAGGGCAAUUGCUACACCAAGCAUAUAUAUUAAAAAAGACAUGUUGGAGCUGUACACGUGGAAAGCAAGGAAGCAAACUGUAAGGUUUUUUCUAUUAUGACUUUCCGAUUUAUGAUAAAUAUGGCGAUUCCAAUUUAUUAGAAAGAGUGUGAACCGUUUGUUCCUAGCUUAGUAAACCCCUAACCAUGCGCUUGCCAUGUUUGGGGACAACAUUACUGUUGCAAUUACUCUUAACCAAGCUUGUGCUGUUAAGAUUCAAGAAGCUGGCAAAUCACAUCAAGUCACAGUUACCCAAUGUCCAGGUCAACAGCCUUCUUGAUGGGCGGCCAGGCCUGAAUCGAGCUUCACCCUUGAGCAGCCCACUCCAUGGAUCUAGCUGCCAGUGAUGUCAUCCAUCUGGCAUGGCCACUCAUAGAAGUUGAUCUAUAAUAACCAUGACUUUAAAUUGAAAAAUAAAUAAUAUAAAAGAAAAUACAGUUGACCAUAUACCUUUUAGAAAAUUCUACAUUAUUCAUUACAAUAAAAAUACAUUAUUUAUUUAAAUCUCUUAUAAUAAUUUAUUUAAAUCUCUUAUAAAUAUGAAUAAACCGAGAAACGAUAUUGUAUUAUUGAAAUUAUGCUAGAUUAAACUGUAUACUAGUUUAAGAGAAACAACCAAAAAACUUUGGUAAAUAACGAAUAUACUAAUUUAAAUAUAGUUUAUCUCUGGUUUCUACUGCAUCUUUUGUGAAAUCUGUAAUUAAGGAACCAGAAUCCAGUUCUAAACGUGAAACGUUCAAGUUGGUAGGACCGAUAAAUUGCAUGGACCAGAUAACUGUAUGGAAAACGUGCACCGUAUAAAACGACAAGAUUUCUCUCCAAGUAUGUGGCUACGUGUGUAACGUACAGAAUACGGACCACACGGAAAUAAAAAACGUGAAAUGUGAUCUCUAAUAGCUCUGAUAGUAUAAAAGACCCUUCUCCAGCCUCUGUUUCCUCAACCCACAGAGGAGUAGAAAACAUUCUCCAAUCAAGUUGAUCAGAUCGAUCAAACAGUUUNNNNNNNNNNNNNNNNNNNNNNNNNNNNNNNNNNNNNNNNNNNNNNNNNNNNNNNNNNNNNNNNNNNNNNNNNNNNNNNNNNNNNNNNNNNNNNNNNNNNGCAAGAGAGAAGAGAGGGCACGAUUUCUAGCGUCGCUCCACCCCGUGAGAGACGCACACAAGAUCUUGUGGUACAUGUACUCGGUGGAAUUCCCCUUCCUCUCGCAAAAGGCGCUCGAGUUUGGCACAAUCCGCACGCUCGGCAUCCCGGGGAUCACAAAUUUGCUCUUCAAGACCAAGUACGGCCUCAAGGAUCCGCAGAAGCGCGCCGCCGAGACCAACAUUCUGGUGAGCGAGAUGAUCCACCACCACGUCGACAGCGAUCGCGGCUCAUACGCGGUGAGGAGAUUGAAUGGAAUCCACAACAAAUUCAAGAUCCCAAACGACCAAUUCGCCUACGUCCUCUGCCUCAACGUGGUCAGCCCCAUUGAUUUCUCCGAGAGAUUUGGAUUCCGCAAGUGGACCGACAACGAGAAGGAGGCCGCGUAUGUUGUGUGGCACGACGUGGGCGUGAGGAUGGGCAUCACAACCAUCCCAGAUAGCAUUCCAGAGAUGCGGGAGUACAUUCGCGAUUACGAGGCCAAGAACGCCAUCUUGACGGACAAGAACAAGAGCAUCGUCCAGGAUCUCAAGCAUCUGGUGCUGGAUGCAUUUCCUCGCCCCGUGCAGCCGCUGGUCGAGACUGGGAUCUGUGCACUCAUCGAUCCCACAAUCAGGAGCGCUGUUGGAUUGGAAAAGCCUCCAGCAAUUGUGGAGUGGAUCAUCUUGGGUGCAUUCAAGCUGCUGGCCGGGAGCUUCGUGUCCGCGUUCUUGCCUCCCAGACGUGUGGAGGAUGCAAAGGGCAGCAUUGAGGUGGACUGGUGUCCUAAUCCCGCUGCCAACCCGGAAGAGUACCGGCAGCUCAACGUGAAUGUGUAUCGGCCACCGGCAUUUGAGAAGGGAUACAAGCUGGCGGAGCUGGGAGCGCUGAAAUCAGGCAAGCUUGGACCAUACUACGAUGGAGGCUUGCGCUGCCCCUUCCGGCAAAUGCACGCAUAGAAAUAGAACGGGCAUAGGACAUUCGUUCGGAGAACAAAGCAUCAUUUGAAAAUGCGUAGUUUACGUGAAUCUUUUUGUAAUUUUUGCAGAACAAUAUGGGAUCCAAACAAUUUAGAAACACGCUCUGGCUAAAGACAAUGAUUCUAAGAUAUUGCAGGUUGUAGUUAGAAGUCUCAGUUGACACGCUCACUUUACACCUAAGAGAAGGAAAAGCUUGUCAAGCGGAAGGAACAAAGGUCAAAAGCUUACCUCCACGAGAAAACCUCACGUUAAUCCAUGGGGCCUCAGCACGGGGCAUGCCCACCAUCAGGUGCGAACUGCCAAACUUUCCUUGGAGUCCAGUGCCGCACUCGCUGGCCAAUCAGGAUACCCGAGUGCAACUUGAGCUCUCCCACUGAGAUGGCUGCAAAGCCGCUUUCAAAGCUCGGCAUCCCCCAUGCCUGUUCAAAGCAACAGACUCUAAACACACGAACAAAACUCACCUUGGCACCAUGCCUGUUCAAGGCAAAAGACUUUAAACACACGACAAAAACUCACCUUGGAGCAGUAGUACAACCAGCCAACAGGGUGCAGGAAUCGUAAGGUCCUUCGAUAACAAGGAUGCUCUCCAGGCUGCAAACUUAUCCCGAACCUCCUGCUUGGUGAAGGCCUCUUCCGAUAUCGGCUCUCUGGGUGAGUCAGGGAACGGAUGCAGAGAAGCUUCAACCAGCUGGUUUCCCUUAACCUGCACAUAUCCAUUGAUCUCAUAAAUGGCAUAUCGCCAUUCUCUCAUGUCCAUGGCAUACAGAAAACAAACAGAAAUUGAUUUCAAAACACGAAACUAGAAACUGGUACAUGGUCUUGCUUGCUUCCCUAAGCUGGCAGUGAUCCACGUACAUGAAAACCUGUACCAGAUCUUAACGCAGAUUUCAGAUACUAACCAGCUUUACGUAGCAGAUCGCAGUGCUUCACAUCAAUUCCCAAUCUUAGUGUACGCACAUCCAGGAUCGGAAUGCCAAUCAAGCCCUCCUCAGAGGAGGUGACAUCGUUAGUAGGUUGAUCAACGCCAUCAUGUGGAAACUCCAGGUCCAGAAAAACGGCCUCCUCAUCCUGUGCCUCCUCAUCCUCCUCCAACUCUAAGCCCAUUUCUAACUGGAACUGCCGCCACUCUGGUUCUUGCUCAUCGUGCUUACAGUCUGCCUUGUACAGCAUGAAAAGGGCAAAUGAACACAAGAGCCUAGAGAAAAUGCUUGCCGGCCCUUGUCUUGGAAAACCAAUGUGGCGUACACAUCUUUAACCUCCAACUACACGCACGGCGCUCUCCCUUCCUGGAAACAUCUUUCGAUUAUACCUGGAAUGUCGAGAAACUUAGACACAAGACGAGGUCAAGAAUCCUUACCGAUCAUAGGGAGGCGUGGCAUCUGGGAUCUGUUCGAUCAGCCCGUACCUCUUCUUAAAUUCCUCUUCAGUAAUCUUGCUAGGUGACACUUGGAAUAGUGGUGCUUCUUGCUGUAGCGCUGCAAGUUGUGCUGUGGGAGCAACGCCUUGAGCAGAGCCCUAAUGUGUUCCAAAGACGAACACAAACCUGCAUCCCUCUGUUUCUUAUGAGCUGCCCCCCUCCACCUCUUUUGACUUUGGUGACUCUCUUUUGGUGAUGACGGCAUUGCUGUAUAUGAUCACGGUCACGGACUUGCCCCGAGGAUGGGUGAUUCCACCUUGAUUUUCAAUCUGACAUUGCUUGCCACAAUCUACAUGGAAUCAAGGAGUUUGAAACAAUGCUUUAGCAAACUCUUAAGCUUUUGAAGUUUAGACAAAGUCCAUUGAGCUCAAAGAACCUAGACAUGAAAGGUUCUGGGAAGGAUAGUGAGAACUUGGAUCACUGUCACAAUCUUGGAAUCCUUUGAGACUGCCCAGAUGUUCGUCUGGGCAGCUCACAGUGUGGAAUGAGUCAAAUAUUUGUCACCCAGCCCAUCAGCCAGAGCAACUACCAAACAACAAAAAGACUUGGAACAAGAUUUUUACUUGCUAAUGGCAGCCUCACAAUGCAAAAUAAGCACAUGCACAUGACUCAACCUCACAGCACACUGCAGAUGCUGAUGUGGAAUUGCUUCCCACUUUUAUUCUUUAACUUUGAGAUUCCUGGGAUCUUAGGAAACGAUCUUGUCCUCAUCCUCAAACACCAUAAGUAGUUUGCAAUGGUGGCAACCUCCUUGCUUGGGCAAAAAUGGCAUGAGUUACAAGGAAACAAACACUUCUACAGUUUUCUUCUUGGUAACCUUAGCUUUAAAAGGGGACUCUAUUUGAGAUCUGUGACUUGCAAAAUAAUCUUUAUAGCUACAAAUUUUCAAACAUACAUCUUGCAAUAUAAUUGAAUUAGUACUUGCCCAGCAAAUGCUGGAUGAAUGUAAAAAUAAAUUUAUACACGUGAGUGAGAGCUGAGUGAAUGUGAUAUUCAGGCAUUGACUAUCCAAGUCUUGAAGAAUGUUGUAGGGCUGUGUUUCCACUUUUUGCGUGACAGCUUAGCCAAGGUAGUUAUUUUGGCAUUAGAGACUGGUUUAUCUUGGUUAAUUGUAGUGGGAGGAUCUGAUCUUGGCUGCUCACUCUCUCUUUUCUCCUUGCGGUUUUUUCUUGCAAUUUUCUCUAGGUCUUCCUCCUCCUCAGCAUCAUCAAGUAUAGAAUUCUUCCUCCUCCUCAACAUCAUGAAAUACAGAGUUCUCCAUAUGCUAAUGCUGUUGUGCCCAUGUCAUAACUCUAGAUUUUGGUGCAGCUUGUUGGAUGAAAAUUGCAUUGCUUUCUGCUUGGCUUAAGCUUGUGCAGGCAAUUGUCCUGCUUAUGCAAGCCUUGUGUCUGACAAAUUCCACAUAUAGGUUGGUACUGUUUCCUCAUAUGCUAGCUUGUAGCUCAUUAUCUGAAUUGGAGGAGAAAAUGGGUGUUGAAAGAAAACUGGUGCUCAAGCCAAAGAUGGCAGUGAUGACGGCAAGGUCUUGAUGUAACUUGCAGGAGAUUUCCUGGCUUGUAAAAAUAAUCUUCCUAGUGAUGAUUAGUUUGCCAACAAUAGUGGCACUUGUCUCAAUUCAUCACUAGUUGUGAACACUCAUUUGGGUAGUGUUCAUAAUUGUUGCAUCACACACACUAGAUGUCUUUUUGCUACUGUAUGGCCUACUUUGUGCCCCUCGGACCCAAUUCAAUUGCAAGUCAUUGUAGUUGUUGGAUCUGGACCUACACUCAUUAAAGCUUGCUAUUGUUGUUGUUGCUAGCAGCUAUAGUCCAUCAUCCUAAGGCAUAUUCCAAAUAUUGUUCCAAAUACUAACAAUGAGACAAGGAGAGAGAACACAUAGAGAGAAAGGAAGGAGUUGUACUAGCUGGUCUUUGUUACACAUUUGCUACCUUAUGGCUGGAAUAUCUCUAUGUGCCAUUGUUAGUUACUGUUGACCAACUCCAAAGCUUUCUACUAGCUACACACACACAUUUUAUGUUAUUAGUUGCAUUUUUUUGUCUGUUUUUGGUUUCCUUAAGCAAAUUUGUAGAGGAAUUGGGAUGGUAGUGGAUUAUAUUUAUUAUUUAUAAACAUGUUUAUAUAUAAACUUGCUUAAACACUUUCUACUAUACUAUUUUUUAUUCUACCAUCUAAUGGUUGAUAUGAAAUAAGAUUAAUCUUGUGUUUAUAAAAUAUAAACUUUUAUUUGAUCAAUUGAAUUAAUAAGUAGGAAUAACAGUACUAUUAAGAAAACCAAGAAACAUAUAGAAAACAUAUAGAAACAUAUAGAAACAUGAAACAUAUAGAAAGUUUUUCUCGAAUAACUGAUAUUGAUGUAUUUACCUCAGUUUGAAGGCCAUAGUUUUAGAGAUCCCAUUUACAGUGGCUGACAAAAGAAAGCCACCUUCUGGAUAAGGAUUGUCUUUACAGAGUUUGAUGGCCAUAGAUAAAUCAGUUGAAGUAAACAUUUGAAGAAAGGUGAUGGCCAUCAAUCCAUAUGCACGGUCAAUGAGAGCAUCAUCCAUUGUUACGUGCUGUGUUGAGUUGCUAUAAGUGGAUAUCAACCAGCCAUGUACACAUAUAACCCUGAAAAAAGGAUGGUUAUUGUUGCACUCAAUGCAGUGUCCAAUCUGCAAGUUAAUCCUAGAUAGCCAAAAUUUGUGGCAAAAACACUAGCCCAAGGACAUAGAGAUGUCUUGAGAGGAAAAAGGAAUUAAGCAUCCCUUUAUCUUAAAUGAAUAAAUAUAAGCCAUUGAACAAAUAAAUAUGACAUACAUACCCCAUCAAAGUCUCUUCGAUACAUAGAAGUUAUGGAUUUCAAGUGGUCAUGAAUUGCAUUCAAUGGUGCUAGCCCAGGCACAUUGUAAACUAUAGUUGGAGGUCCAAUCUAAGAAGCAUUAUGAUCACUUGUUCCUUUGAUGUUGUGAAAUAUUUUGAGUGGCAUUUGACAUCCAAACCAUUUUGAUUUGACUUUAUCAUACACGAAAGACAUACAUGCUUUGCUACAUACGUCGUCAAGAGUUUGAUCUGAUGAAUGAGACUUGCUAUUGUGAACCUCCUAAACCUGUGAUGUGUUAGAAAUGUAGCCAACUACAUCAUCACUUGAAGACGACAGACAAAAACAAAAAAGAACUUUUGGAAUGUUGAAAGCCUAAGAAACAUGCCCAAUGCAUGUACUAAUAUUGACACGUUGCAUGGAGGAAGCCACUGCUGUUGCAGAAGAAUGAUUCGAACAAUCCAAAGAGUAGCAGCAGCAACACUGCAGCCUGAUGCAUCUCCUUAGUGCACUCACCCAGAUUCUCACCAAAUUGGAGAAGCCGAACAAGCUGCUGCAAUUGCUACACCAAGCAUAUAUAUUAAAAAAGAGAUGUUGGAGCUGUCAACGUGGAAAGCAAGGAAGCAAAUUGUAAGGUUUUUUCUAUUAUGACUUUCCAAUUUAUGAUAAGAUAUGGCAAUUCCAAUUUAUUAGAAAGAGUGUGAACCGUUUGUUCCUAGCUUAGUAAACCCCUAACCAUGCGCUUGCCAUGUUUGGGGACAACAUUAUUGUUGCAAUUACUCUUAACCAAGCUUGUGCUGUUAAGCUUCAAGAGCUUCAAGAGUGGUAGUAAGAAGCUGCCAAAUCACAUCAAGUCACAGUUACCCAAUGUCCAGGUCAACAGCCUCCUUGAUGGGCGCUCGAGCAGCCCACUCCAUGGAUCUAGCUGCCAGUGAUGUCAUCCAUCCGGCAUGGCUGCUCCAAGAGCUUUACACCAAAUGCAUAGAAGUUGAUCUAUAAUAACCAUGACUUUAAAUUGAAAAAUAAAUAAUAUAAAAGAAAAUAAACUUGACCAUAUACCUUUUAGAAAAUUCUAGAUUAUUCAUUACAAUAAAAAUAGAUUAUUUAUUUAAAUCUCUUAUAAAUAUGAAUAAACCGAGAAACCAUAUUGUAUUAUAUGGUUAGUUUAAGAGAGACAACGGUAAAUAAUGAAUAUACUAAUUUAAAUAUAGUUUAUCUCUGGCAUCUUUUGUGAAAUCUGUAAUUAAGGAACCAGAAUCCAGUUCUAAACGUGAAACGUUCAAGUUGGUAGGACCGAUAAAUUGCAUGGACCAGAUAACUGUAUGGAAAACGUGCAGCGUAUAAAACAACAAGAUUUCUCUCCAAGUAUGUGGCUAUGUGUGUAACGUACAGAAUACGGAUCACACGGAAAUAAAAAACGUGAAAUGUGAUCUCUAAUAGCUCUGAUAGUAUAAAAGACCCCUCUCCAGCCUCUGUUUCCUCAACCCACAGAGGAGUAGAAAACAUUCUCCAAUCAAGUUGAUCAGAUCGAUCAAACAGUUUUCACCAUUUCGAAAUGGCUGCAAUCGUGUUGAUGAUUGCGUUUCUUGUGAUGGCUGCAGCAUGGAAGAUGGUGUGUAUCCGCAAGAGAGAAGAGAGGGCACGAUUUCUAGCGUCGCUCCACCCCGUGAGAGACGCACACAAGAUCUUGUGGUACAUGUACUCGGUGGAAUUCCCCUUCCUCUCGCAAAAGGCGCUCGAGUUUGGCACAAUCCGUACGCUCGGCAUCCCGGGGAUCACAAAUCUGCUCUUCAAGACCAAGUACGGCCUCAAGGAUCCGCAGAAGCGCGCCGCCGAGACCAACAUUCUGGUGAGCGAGAUGAUCCACCACCACGUCGACAGUGAUCGCGGCUCAUACGCGGUGAGGAGAUUGAAUGGAAUCCACAACAAAUUCAAAAUCCCAAACGACCAAUUCGCCUACGUCCUCUGCCUCAACGUGGUCAGCCCCAUUGAUUUCUCCGAGAGAUUUGGAUUCCGCAAGUGGACCGACAACGAGAAGGAGGCCGCGUAUGUUGUGUGGCACGACGUGGGCGUGAGGAUGGGCAUCACAACAAUCCCAGAUAGCAUUCCAGAGAUGCGGGAGUACAUUCGCGAUUACGAGGCCAAGAACGCCAUCUUGACGGACAAGAACAAGAGCAUCGUCCAGGAUCUCAAGCAUCUGGUGCUGGAUGCAUUUCCUCGCCCCGUGCAGCCGCUGGUCGAGACUGGGAUCUGUGCACUCAUCGAUCCCACAAUCAGGAGCGCUGUUGGAUUGGAAAAGCCUCCAGCAAUUGUGGAGUGGAUCAUCUUGGGUGCGUUCAAGCUGCUGGCCGGGAGCUUCGUGUCCGCGUUCUUGCCUCCCAGACGUGUGGAGGAUGCAAAGGGCAGCAUUGAGGUGGACUGGUGUCCUAAUCCCGCUGCCAAUCCGGAAGAGUACCGGCAGCUCAACGUGAAUGUGUAUCGGCCACCGGCAUUUGAGAAGGGAUACAAGCUGGCGGAGCUGGGAGCGCUGAAAUCAGGCAAGCUUGGACCAUACUACGAUGGAGGCUUGCGCUGCCCCUUCCGGCAAAUGCACGCAUAGAAAUAGAACGGGCAUAGGACAUUCGUUCGGAGAACAAAGCAUCAUUUGAAAAUGCGUAGUUUACGUGAAUCUUUUUGUAAUUUUUGCAGAACAAUAUGGGAUCCAAACAAUUUAGAAACACGCUCUGGCUAAAGACAAUGAUUCUAAGAUAUUACAGGUUGUAGUUAGAAGUCUAAGUUGACACGCUCACUUUACACCGGGAUGCCGAGCUUUGAAGGCGGCUUUGCAGCCAUCUCAGUGGGAGAGCUCAAGUUGUACUCGGGUAUCCUGAUUGGCCAGCGAGUGCGGCGCUGGACUCCAAGGAAAGUUUGGCAGUUCGCACCUGAUGGUGGGCAUGCCCCGUGCUGAGGCCCCAUGGAUUAACGUGAGGUUUAAUCGUGGAGGUAAGCUUUUGACCUUUGUUCCUUCCGCUUGAAGCCCAUGCCUGUUCAAGGCAACAGACUCUAAACACACGAACAAAACUCACCUUGGCAAGGUGAGUUUACAAGCUCAGCUAAGUAUCCUUCCAAGAACCUUUCAUGUCUAGGUUCUUCAAGCUCGAUGGAGCAUGAAGGCACUUUAUCUAAACUUCCAAAGCUUAAGAGUUCGCUAAAGCAUUGUUUCAAACUGCUUGAUUCCAGGUAGAUUGCGGCGAGCAACGUCAGAUCGAAAAUUGAGGAGUCGAGGUGGAAUCACCCGUCCUCGGGGCAAGUGCGUGACCUCGAUCAUAUACAGCACUGCCGUCAUCACCAAAAGAGAGGCACCAAGGUCAGAAGUGGUGGAGGGGGGCAGCUCAUAAGAAACAGAGGGAUGCAGGUUUUGGUUCGUCUUGGAACGCAUUAGGGGCUCUGCUCAAGGAGUUGCUCCCACUCCCACAACGAUUCCGUGACCAACUCGCAGCCCUACAGCAAGAAGCACCACUAUUCCAGGUACGGGCUGAUCGAACAGAUCCCAGAUGCCAAGCAUCCCUAUGAUCGGUAAGGAUUCUCGACCUCGUCUUGUGUCUAAGUUUCUCGACAUUCCAGGUUUAAUCGAAAGAUGUUUCCAGGAAGGGAGAGCGCUGUGCGUGUAGUUGGAGGCUGCGUCCUUAAAGAUGUGUACACAUCGGCUCGCCACAUUGGUUUUCCAAGACAAGGCCUGGCAAGCAUUUUCUCUAGGCUCUUGUGUUCGUUUGCCCUUUUCAUGCGGUACAAGGCAGAGUGUAAGCACGAUGAGCAGGAACCAGAGUGGGGGGGAGUUCCUAACUCUGGUUACCUACUAACGACGUCACCUCCUCUGAGGAGGAACAGGCCGAGCUUGAUUGGCAUUCAGG